UUCAAUCCCUGGUACCUGCCCCCCUCACCACCCCCCAAAAAGAUGUCCGCAUCCUAAUCCUCAGAACUACUAUUCAGGGCAAAAGGGAUUCUGCAGGUGAUUAAGGUUAAGGAGGACCUUGAGGUGUGGUGGGUUUGACCUAUUACAAGACCACCUUCCCCGGCUACAGGGAACCUGAGAGAAGGCAGCAUGAGGUCUUGACUUGCCAUCUCUGGCUCUGAAAAAAUGGACAGAAUCUACAGAACGUGUCUGGUUCCUAGAGAGCCAGAAACAGCGGGAACAUGUCUGUCUCUGAGCUUCUAGGGAAGAGCACUGCUUUGCACACCCUUGUUGGACUUGUGACCUACAGAACUAGCAUGCCUGCUUGUCUACCCAACCUCGACCUGGGAAAAUGACUGUAGAGAAGUGACUACAACAUCAGACUUCUAGCUACUCACAGAGGAAGCCCCAAGCACCUUGGUCUUUUGUCCCUACAUCUGGUGUGUGACCAGGGAGGCCAUUUGGCAAGAUGUGCAAGAAUACGAUGUCACAAAAACAGCCUUGAAGCAUCUUAGACCUUUGGAGACUAAUUCAUUUAAUAAAAGCCCAUAUUUACUUUCCUAUUAAAUCUUUCAUUGAAUAAGGACACUAAAACCUG
Ictidomys tridecemlineatus (thirteen-lined ground squirrel) is the source of this 637-nucleotide non-coding RNA. The record is from RefSeq and is a predicted model, not a curated record. NCBI's taxonomy places the organism in Eukaryota, Metazoa, Chordata, Mammalia, Rodentia, Sciuridae.